UCAUUUGCUCCGACGGCCCGUAGCUCUCUCUCCAUACCCUGGUUAGCUCUCUCGAUCUCCUUCCUCCUUCAUCUCUACGAAUCAAUUUAUCCAUCUCUCUUUCCGUCGCCGAAUCGCCGAAUCUCUCAGUUAAAGAUAAGGUCAACAUCAUGAACGAAAACAAACGAAAAAGGGAUGGUGGUGUUGGUCCAAAGAUACAGACUCAAAUGCCCCGUACCAAUAAGUUGGUAGAUAUAAACCGAAAAUUAUCUGAUGCGCAAAGGAGUAGAAUUUUGAAAACUCCAUUCCGAUAUCUGGUGGAAAUGAAGACCUAUAUAGGAAUGAAGGGUACUUUAUUGAAGGAAUUAUUGCAUAGUUAGGAUGCAAGUAGCUUAGGAUUUAGAGUAGGCAUUAGAACUGUGGCCUUUAAACAUCUAGACCUUUGUUUGGCUCUAGGUUUGCCUAUUUUAGGAGAAUCUUUGCCGGAUAGUGUACAUUCAAAGCUGAAGGUCCUUCAAGAAGAGGACAACAUAGAUGAUUUUUGUAGAGUUUACAUCCUAUUUGCCUUGUGUGUCUUAUAUUUCCCAAAUUACAUGGUAAAAUUAAAAAAGAUUUCUUUAACCUUGUUGAUGA
This is a long non-coding RNA of Medicago truncatula (barrel medic), 612 nucleotides long. RefSeq lists it as uncharacterized. The transcript has 3 exons. The record is from RefSeq and is a predicted model, not a curated record. NCBI's taxonomy places the organism in Eukaryota, Viridiplantae, Streptophyta, Magnoliopsida, Fabales, Fabaceae.